RNAcentral lists this transfer RNA (69 nucleotides) under Syrrhaptes paradoxus (Pallas's sandgrouse). RNAcentral's name for it is "tRNA-Asp". The record is from RNAcentral. Lineage: Eukaryota; Metazoa; Chordata; Aves; Pterocliformes; Pteroclidae.
GAAAUGUUAGUAAAACAAUUACACAGCCUUGUCAAGGCUGAAUUACAGGCGUAAACCCUGUACAUCUCA